UGCUAAGACCUUUAUCCUAAUUCUAUGCAUGCCAUGCAAAUACAAGAUUAACAUCCUACCACUUUACACUUAACAGCAAUUUGAAUCUCCUCAUGCUAAAAUAAUCAUUCCAUGUAAUUCCCUUUUAGGAGAUAGAAUGCCUCCUGUGUCUUAAGGAUGAACCAGAUGAUUUGGUGUCUCCAGGGACCAGAGAGGUAGGACUAUUAGAACUCCCUGAGGUCUCUGGGCUCCUAUUUUCUCCUUGUCCUUUGUUACCCCCAAGCCAUAACUUAUCAAAGAUUCUCCCUGAAUUUGAGUAAUAUUAAUUAUUUAUAAAAAAAAUAUAAUAAUAUUUAUUGAAAUGUUACUAUAAUAAUUUAUAUAUAAUGUUAAAAAAUAUAGUAAGUAAACCCGUGCAACGCACGGGUAUAAUAUCUAGUCAAACAUGUAUUUCUAAGUAUGGUAAGACUUGAUAUUGACGCGCUAGACCUUAAUGAAGUAUUAAUGCAUGACUUUUGAGAUGAUAAUUGUGAUUGAGUAAUCUUGCAAUUGUUUGGUGAGUGUGUCAGCUCUGUUCAGCUCAGCCAAUUGUUGAACAGAUAAACCAUCAAUCAUUGAUUUGGUGGUUCCAACCGGCCAACAUGAUAUUCCUUUAGUUUUAAAACUUUUGGGUAGUGCAAGGCGAGGCUCUUAUGGCUAUUAUUCCCUCACUAAUUAAAAUUUUAACGCUCAAGAUUUCUAAUUUUUUUCCUGAACAUAUGUAAGCUUAUGGAAACCAUGCUGAAAGACUUAUCUAUCAAAAAUACACUUAUUACUAACCCAAGCACAAACAAAAAAUAAAUACUUCGGGAAGCCAUAAAUCACAACAUGCAAUUAAAAGAUCAUGAUUCUAUACAAAGGGCAGCACUGCAUAAAACAUAAAGAUCCCUAUCCCAAUGAAGAUGACACUGCCCCUAGAUACAUAAGACACAAAUAUUAUUACAUAUUUUUUUAAAUGCUAGUCAUAGCACGACGAGCUUCUAUUCCUUCAUAAUUGAUUUUGGCCCCCAAAAGCUACCAGAAUUGAUUUUACCUCCAAAAGCAAUUGUAAACAUAUUUCAAAACAUGUGCUAAGACCUUUAUCCUAAUUCUAUGCAUGCCAUGCAAAUACAAGAUUAACAUCCUACCACUUUACACUUAACAGCAAUUUGAAUCUCCUCAUGCUAAAAUAAUCAUUCCAUGUAAUUCCCUUUUAGGAGAUAGAGUGCCUCCUGUGUCUUAAGUAUGAACCAGCUGAUUUGGUGUCUCCAGGGACCAGAGAGGUAGGACUAUUAGAACUCCCUGAGGUCUCUGGGCUCCUAUUUUCUCCUUGUCCUUUGUUACCCCCAAGCCAUAACUUAUCAAAGAUUCUCCUUGACCUAGAUGGCAGCAACUGAAUGCCACUUCUGCUGUUUUUGCUGCUCUUCUUAUUCAGUUUUACAUCCUUGAUCUUCAA
Molecule: long non-coding RNA, 1453 nt
Filed under: Lotus japonicus
Lineage: Eukaryota; Viridiplantae; Streptophyta; Magnoliopsida; Fabales; Fabaceae
Description: long non-coding RNA (LJAP_LNC001981)
Source: RNAcentral